UCCCUGUUCUGGAUGGCUGCGUCCCGCUUUUAGCGGGAUGAGGAAAGUCCGAACACCCCAUAAUGGCAUCCGCCGCUAUGGAAGGAGGUAGUGGCUAACGGCCACCAUAUCCAGCUCCAGUUUUGCAUCAGAAUUACGAAAACGAUUAGAACGAUUUUGCUCAAGCGCGAUUGAUUCGACGGAUUCGCUCGGAUGCAAAACUGGGGCUGGAGAACGGGACAGUGCCACAGAGAACAUACUACCGAUCGUCACUACGGAAACCCUAAAAGUUUCCAACGUGGAGGAGGUAAAAGGUGAAAAGAGUGGGGUAAGAGCCCACAGCUCCGCAGGGUGACUUGCGGGGUGAGGAAAACACCUACCCGGUGCAAGGGGAUCCCGCUUACAGCGGGAAGACCCGCUUGAUCCCGCAAGUAAUUGCGGGGCUAGACAGAUGGCCAUCGCUCCGGCGCAAGUCGGAGGCACAGAAUUCGGCUUACAAGAACAGGAACAAA
Molecule: RNase P RNA, 491 nt
Filed under: Candidatus Sungiibacteriota bacterium
Lineage: Bacteria; Candidatus Sungiibacteriota
Description: RNase P RNA component class A
Rfam family: Bacterial RNase P class A
About the family: Ribonuclease P (RNase P) is a ubiquitous endoribonuclease, found in archaea, bacteria and eukarya as well as chloroplasts and mitochondria. Its best characterised activity is the generation of mature 5'-ends of tRNAs by cleaving the 5'-leader elements of precursor-tRNAs.
Source: RNAcentral